Molecule: ribosomal RNA, 756 nt
Filed under: Triticum aestivum (bread wheat)
Lineage: Eukaryota; Viridiplantae; Streptophyta; Magnoliopsida; Poales; Poaceae
Description: partial small subunit ribosomal RNA
Source: RNAcentral
AUGAAGAGAUUGUUGAGGGGCUCUUCGAGCCAAAGCUCGAAGGAUAAGCAAAGUGAAGAAGAAGAGAGGCCCAAAUAUAAUCUGCCUCGUACCACGGAGGUUCGACCAUGUGAAUGGCCUUGUGAUGAUUUCUUAAGAGCAGCCGGGAUUUAUGAUGAUUUCUAUGAGUUGGCUGAGAAUGCAGGCCUCACCGCCUUCCUCUACGACCAACGCGAACAGUAUCUCUUACUCACCAAUACCUUUGUGCAAAACUUUCAUUUCCAUGCUAGAAGCUCACCACCUACGGUGGAAUUUUAUUUAUAUGAUGAGCAUAAGGAGAUGUCACUUCGUGAUUUUUGUCGGGUUUGUUUGAUCCCUUUUGAGGGCAGUGUAGAGGAACCACAUCGUGACGAUGUGGAUGGGUUUAUUGAUACCAUUGCUGUAGGGCAAAUGAGGAAGGUUUCCGACGCACGAAUUACUAGCAUACACUUUCCUGUUCUAUGUUACUUUGCUAUAUUUGCUAGUAGAUUGUUAAUUGGUCGCGGAAACUGUGGCAACCUUAGUGCCCCUGAUAUUGUUAUUUUGUGCCAUGCCUUAUUUCGUGAUGACACAUUUAGUAUGGGCGCUAUUGUUGCAAAGCGGUUAAAUCGUCACCGUACUAAGGGCCCCGUCCUUGGAGGCAUCUUCGCCUCGCGCCUCGCUACAUACUAUAACAUACCUAUUAGGCAUUAUGAGAAAGAACAAAAAAUUGCUACCUCCUGUUUAUCUAGAUUAUAA